Molecule: ribosomal RNA, 468 nt
Filed under: uncultured bacterium
Lineage: Bacteria
Description: partial 16S ribosomal RNA
Rfam family: Bacterial small subunit ribosomal RNA
Source: RNAcentral
GACGAACGCUGGCGGCGCGCCUAACACAUGCAAGUCGAACGGAGAGGAGAGAAGCUUGCUUUUCUUAGCUUAGUGGCGAACGGGUGAGUAACGCGUGAGUAACCUGCUCUGGAGUGGGGUACAACAGUUGGAAACGACUGCUAAUACCGCAUAAGCUCACGAUCCGGCAUCGGAGUGAGGGAAAAGGGUUUAUUCGCUUCAGGAUGGACUCGCGUCCAAUUAGCUAGUUGGUGAGGUAACGGCCCACCAAGGCGACGAUUGGUAGCCGGGCUGAGAGGUUGCACGGCCACAUUGGGACUGAGGCCCGGCCCAGACUCCUACGGGAGGCAGCAGUGGGUGAUAUUGCACAAUGGGGGAAACCCUGAUGCAGCGACGUCGCGUGGAGGAAGAAGGUUUUUGGAUUGUAAAUUCCUGUCGUUAGGGACGAUAAUGACGGUACCUAACAAGAAAGCACCGGCUAACUACGUG